This 236-nucleotide long non-coding RNA is filed under the name Capsicum annuum. RNAcentral's name for it is "long non-coding RNA (CANN_LNC002216)". The record is from RNAcentral. Lineage: Eukaryota; Viridiplantae; Streptophyta; Magnoliopsida; Solanales; Solanaceae.
UUUAUUAAGGAAUAAGAAAGUUGGGAAAAUUUCAAAAUAACCCAGAAGAUUUUAAAUUUACCCUUUGAUCCAAGUGUUUACCUAAUAUAAUGAAAAAUUAAGGGGGAAUGUCGUAUUUCUAUCUCUUCUCAUUCGUUGUUGUUUUCUCUCUCUUAGCUAUUUUUCUUAUUCAUUGUUACUACUGCUUUAUUCAUCAUCUUCUACUUCAUUAUCAUCAUCUUCUACUUUAUUAUCAU